Molecule: long non-coding RNA, 2166 nt
Organism: Nannospalax galili (Upper Galilee mountains blind mole rat)
Lineage: Eukaryota; Metazoa; Chordata; Mammalia; Rodentia; Spalacidae
Exons: 3
Source: RefSeq, a predicted model, not a curated record
GUAUCGUCUUGCCUGUCUGCUGUCUAGUGGCAAAUCUGGAUUCAAAAAAACAGCCUUCCUGUUAGGGCUGAGCGCAGAAAACGAAGAGACGCUUCACAUUCAGCAUCCGCAGUAGGUGAAGCACCGACUUGGGGAGAACUCUGAGCCAGGAUCAUCACAGCCUCUGGAAACAGUGUUGGAUGGUUAAUAACAGUACCUCCUCUCUGAGGCUCUCAGAACAUUGAGGAACACUCAAUGCAGGUCUGGUCUCCUCCAGCCCGGAGUCAGGAUUCCAGGCGUGGCCGCAGGCAUUUCUUCACUCAAUACACUUUGGCUCGGAAGAUGCUGGAGUGAAAAGUACAACAGCCCUGCCCUGGAUCUUCGGUUCUAGGCGGAAGGACCACCGUGGGACUAAGAAGCUGUAGACUGUCAGAUGAGACAGUCUUAAAACCCAGAAGACGUCGGGCGUGGUGGUGCACGCCUUUAAUCCCAGCCCUUAGGAGGUCUCUGUGAGUUCGAGGCCAGCCUGGUCUACAUAGCUAGUUUCAGACUAGCUGGGGCUACAGGGAGAUCCUAUCUCAAAAAGACAAAAAAUAAAAACAGACCUAGAAGAUGGGGCCUGGGGACCGCAACACAGCUGGUCCAGUAGUUCCGGGCCAAUAUAAAACCCGGCUGGGCGAUGCACGCCUGUAAACCCACAGUUCUGGAAGGUGGAAGCAGGAGCAUCAGGAUUCAAGGUCAUUCCCAGCCACAAGCAAGUUUGAAACCUUUGUGGGCUACAUAAGACCUUGUCUAAAAAAACCUCUUCGUAGAAAUCCUUCGAAAGGAUUCCAGAUCCACGGGGUUUAGCCUGGUAUCACUGGAGUGGAGAAAAAUAAUAAAAAGGUAGCUGGGUGUGGUGGUGCUACACCUUUAAUCCCAACACUGGAGGCAGAGGCUGGCAGAUCUCUUUAAGUGCAAGACCAGCCUGGUCUACAUGGAGAGUUCCAGGCCAGCUGGGGCUACUGGGAGACCCUGUCUCAAAAAGAUCAAAAAGGAAAAAACAAUGGCAUUAGUAUGAUUGUGGCUCACGGUUUUGAGCAGGUGACAUGUUAAUUGCUUUGUGCAUAUUUUGUUUUUCAUCAUCAAGACAGCUGGAAGUGGUCCCUCCUGUUAUCUGGGAGAAAAUCAGGCUCAGGAAGGUUAAGUCACUUGCCCAAGGUCACACAGCUUGGCAGUGAACAGACCAGCAUUGGGAUCUGAGACUGAAGACUGACUGAACUGUCUGAAAUACAUGUAUGAGACCCAGGUGGGGUGACUGGCCAGGAGAGAUCCUCAGUACUAGUCCUCCCUAAGUGCUAGGGUUGGUGGUGGGGUGACCUCCAAAGGUGAAGGAUGGCCAGGCAGGGCCUUUGUUUCUGUGGACCAGCCAGUUGUAAUGACCACCUUGCAGCCUGUCUCUGAAAUCAGUGCACAGAACAAGGGUGUGCAGAGCCAUCACCCAUAUCUAUUCUGGGAGAUGCUUUUGUUGUCUGGGAAGCACUUGACACCUCUCCAGUCUCUGGAGCCAGGUACUGGUGGCUUUGGGGAGGGAGGGUGGAAGGGAGGAAGCAUGGAUGAGAUGGUGAGGGGAGAGGGUGUGGGUGGAGGAGCCUGUAUGGCUGAAUACUCUGGAGCAGUAACAAAGACAGUGUCAGCCAGGCAGGCUGUGUCUGACGCCAAACAGGCAGAAUCACCGCCACCUCUCCCAGCCUGGAGUGAUUAAAUUACACAUAAAGCCCAUCGACUCUGUGCUGGCUAUCCCCUAGGGGUGGGAAAGGCCUCCUUGCCAUUCUGGGCUCCAAGACUGUUGUAAUGGUUCCUAUCAAUGGAAAGUUGGGUAGAAAAGCACCUUCCUGCUGUAGUGAAGAUAGGUCCGUGACCUGUCUAGAUUCUUAACUAGUUCAACCCUUCCCAGCUUGGUGCAACUACCUUUCCUGGCCUGUUAGACUCUAGUUUGAAAUGUGACUAGGUUAGGAACCUGGUCUCUGUUUGGGAAGCUGGGGUACUAUAUGAAUCCCUUGUCUUGCAUCUCUAAGAAAUCUGAGGAUUAGAGGGAUGACUCUGAUUGAGUGCUUGCUGCUCUUGUAGAGGACCUGGGUUUAUUUCCCAAUACCCAUGUAGCAGCUAGCAACCAUCUGUAACUGCAGUUCUAGGAGAUUUGACACC